UACGAAGGGGGCUAGCGUUGCUCGGAAUUACUGGGCGUAAAGCGCACGUAGGCGGCUUCUUAAGUCGGUGGUGAAAUCCUGGAGCUCAACUCCAGAACUGCCUUCGAUACUGGGAGCUCGAGUCCGGGAGAGGUGAGUGGAACUGCGAGUGUAGAGGUGAAAUUCGUAGAUAUUGCAAGAACACCAGUGGCGAAGGCGGCUCACUGGCCCGGUACUGACGCUGAGGUGCGAAAGCGUGGGGAGCAAACAGGG
This 252-nucleotide ribosomal RNA is filed under the name uncultured bacterium. RNAcentral describes it as "partial 16S ribosomal RNA". It matches the Rfam family "Bacterial small subunit ribosomal RNA", at positions 524 to 777 of the family's 1533-position model. The record is from RNAcentral.